Molecule: ribosomal RNA, 1610 nt
Filed under: Streptomyces wuyuanensis
Lineage: Bacteria; Bacillati; Actinomycetota; Actinomycetes; Kitasatosporales; Streptomycetaceae
Description: Bacterial large subunit ribosomal RNA
Rfam family: Bacterial large subunit ribosomal RNA
Source: Rfam by way of RNAcentral
GACGAGUCAGAAACCGUUGAUGUAGGCGAAGGGCAUGCGAAAGGCCCGGCGUAGAGGGUAAGACCCCCGUAGCUGAAACAUCAGCGGCUCGUUUGAGUUAUUCCCAAGUAGCACGGGGCCCGAGAAAUCCCGUGUGAAUCUGGCGGGACCACCCGCUAAGCCUAAAUAUUCCCUGGUGACCGAUAGCGGAUAGUACCGUGAGGGAAUGGUGAAAAGUACCGCGGGAGCGGAGUGAAAUAGUACCUGAAACCGUGUGCCUACAAGCCGUGGGAGCGUCGGACGUGCUUUGCGCGUCUCGUGACUGCGUGCCUUUUGAAGAAUGAGCCUGCGAGUUAGCGGUGUGUAGCGAGGUUAACCCGUGUGGGGAAGCCGUAGCGAAAGCGAGUCCGAACAGGGCGUUUGAGUUGCACGCUCUAGACCCGAAGCGGAGUGAUCUAGCCAUGGGCAGGUUGAAGCGGAGGUAAGACUUCGUGGAGGACCGAACCCACCAGGGUUGAAAACCUGGGGGAUGACCUGUGGUUAGGGGUGAAAGGCCAAUCAAACUCCGUGAUAGCUGGUUCUCCCCGAAAUGCAUUUAGGUGCAGCGUCGUGUGUUUCUUGCCGGAGGUAGAGCACUGGAUAGGCGAUGGGCCCUACCGGGUUACUGACCUUAGCCAAACUCCGAAUGCCGGUAAGUGAGAGCGCGGCAGUGAGACUGUGGGGGAUAAGCUCCAUGGUCGAGAGGGAAACAGCCCAGAGCAUCGACUAAGGCCCCUAAGCGUACGCUAAGUGGGAAAGGAUGUGGAGUCGCAGAGACAACCAGGAGGUUGGCUUAGAAGCAGCCACCCUUGAAAGAGUGCGUAAUAGCUCACUGGUCAAGUGAUUCCGCGCCGACAAUGUAGCGGGGCUCAAGCGUACCGCCGAAGUCGUGUCAUUGCAGCAGAUAGCCCCAACGGGUGCUGUGAUGGGUAGGGGAGCGUCGUGUGCCGGGUGAAGCAGCCGCGGAAGCGAGUUGUGGACGGUUCACGAGUGAGAAUGCAGGCAUGAGUAGCGAUACACACGUGGGAAACGUGUGCGCCGAUUGACUAAGGGUUCCUGGGUCAAGCUGAUCUGCCCAGGGUAAGUCGGGACCUAAGGCGAGGCCGACAGGCGUAGUCGAUGGACAACCGGUUGAUAUUCCGGUACCCGCUUUGAAACGCCCAAUAUCGAGCCCAUUAAUGCUAAGGCCGUGAAGCCGCCGGCUGAGUCUUCGGACGAGGUCGGAGUGGUGGAGCCGCUGACCCAAGGUGGUAGUAGGUAAGCGAUGGGGUGACGCAGGAAGGUAGUCCAGCCCGGGCGGUGGUUGUCCCGGGGUAAGGGUGUAGCCCGAGAGAUAGGCAAAUCCGUCUCUCAUUGAGGGUGAGACCUGAUGCCGAGCCGAUUGUGGUGAAGUGGAUGAUCCUAUGCUGUCGAGAAAAGCCUCUAGCGAGUUUCAUGGCGGCCCGUACCCUAAACCGACUCAGGUGGUCAGGUAGAGAAUACCGAGGCGUUCGGGUGAACUAUGGUUAAGGAACUCGGCAAAAUGCCCCCGUAACUUCGGGAGAAGGGGGGCCACGUCUGGUGAUGAGUCUUGCACUCUGAGCUGGGUGUGG